UAUAUAGAUUCCACCACUGCAUCGAGUGUAAUACGAUAUUUAUCCACUCGAGACAGUUAAAUUUUCAAAUUUAAAGUCCGAGCCGCCUCGGCGAGGACUUUAAAAUUGAUAAUUUAACUGUCGAGAUUGGAUAAAUAUCGUAUUACACGAGAUUUGGUGGUGGAAUCUGUUUCUCUAAUGAUUUUCUAACAGUAUGCAGGCAAACUUAUUCCUUCUUUUCGAAUGAUCUGAAAAAGAUGUGUUCUUUCUAUGUGACGUCGUCAGGCAUGGUCGCCUUUUUUCAUGCCGUCACAAUAGGAAAUUCAGAGGAAAGCAAACAAAUUCGACGUCACAAUCGGAUUUUAACCAAUGAAGUACUGAGAUCAAACGAACCACACGUUGAUUAAAUUUUUUAUACAAUGGGUGCAGAAAGGGAUAAAUUGACGAAGAAUUAGAGAAAUAUAUAUAUAUAUAUAUAUAUAUA
Molecule: long non-coding RNA, 463 nt
Filed under: Mytilus galloprovincialis (Mediterranean mussel)
Lineage: Eukaryota; Metazoa; Mollusca; Bivalvia; Mytilida; Mytilidae
Source: RNAcentral